UAUAAUUAAAAUAAGUUUAGAUACAUGUAUUUCUAGGACAAGUAUUUCCAGACGGAGGGAGUAGUAGAUAACCCCAAAAGUCCUUAUGUUAAGACCUUAUAGGACUAACGCACCACAUCAGCAACCAUCGUCAGUAGAGACUAUGUUUAUUACUUUCGUUGCGGACUCCUCUUUUUCCUUUUCUUUUUGGGGUGUGCUAUAAGCAACCUGCGACCGUUGCUACUGGUGAUGAUAAUCUCAGUGAUUAGAGCAUCUCCAACGGCUCGUCUAAAGUGUCUUCUAUACGCGUUUAACGACGAAGGAGCAAAAACGACCUUCCAACAACUCGUGUAUAUGGUCGUGCAAAUUUACACAUCGUCCAAAUCGCGUUCGAGGAUGUCCAGCCUUGAAGGAUGUGAACCCGUCGUCCAUAUCCCAACAGAACGCCAGGUUCCUCCAUCGCGCCGAGAGGAGGAAGAGGCGCACAACGCCGUCGUGCCGCGCCACCGCCGAGGGUUGUCUGCCUGUUUUAUUGCGAGCUUUUGUUUUCGAGAAAGAAAAUAUUGCGAGCCUUUUUAGCAGAGCAUACAGCCCAGGUACAACCGCAAGCGGCCCAUUACGAGAAAAUGGAGGGAAAAACUCCAGAAGCGAGGGAAAAUCCUCUUCCCAUUCCACAAAUCCGCGCUCAGAAAAAUAUGGAAACCCACGUCGACCUCGGCUCCGGCUCCGACGGCGGCGACCCAGCUGCGACGAAGCCGGCGAUGGACGAACCACACGCCGCUGCAGCCCCCUCCCUCCCCGGCACCGACGCGCUCCCCGCCGCCCUGCCGGGUGCCGCCGCCGGCGCCAGGAAGCGGAAGGCCCCCGUGACAGCAACGCGCGAAGGCUGUCAGGAAGUCUCGCAAGCAGAAGAUUGAAGUUGAAGAACCGAUUCAGAUGCCUGUGUACUAUGGGCGCAGAGAGCCGUUUUCCCGCGUGCGUGGCAAUGAUCUGGAAAACAAAUGCGCUCACUUAAUCGGCGAGCUACCGCUGAAGCCAUAGUCCAUGUCACUGGUUGAUCUACAGCUCUGGAUCUUCAGGCUGUUCCAGCUCCAUCCAGAAACACAAGAUCUUGAUGUCAAGGGGUUCCUCAAGCAACGCAAAACUGACUUCUUUGGCGAAGAGUCCUCCGAACCGGACUGUUGUUUGGAGGACUACCCGUGGGGCAUGAAUGAGUUUUUGACUGACAAAUGCUGGAGUUCCUUUGCAAAUAA
Hordeum vulgare subsp. vulgare (domesticated barley) is the source of this 1232-nucleotide long non-coding RNA. RefSeq lists it as uncharacterized. The transcript is spliced from 4 exons. The record is from RefSeq and is a predicted model, not a curated record. Lineage: Eukaryota; Viridiplantae; Streptophyta; Magnoliopsida; Poales; Poaceae.